This is a non-coding RNA of Pelobates cultripes (western spadefoot toad), 587 nucleotides long. The record is from the annotation of a GenBank genome assembly. NCBI's taxonomy places the organism in Eukaryota, Metazoa, Chordata, Amphibia, Anura, Pelobatidae.
CCCGCCCGCAUCUGACGGCUGUGUACCCCUUUUAUCCCACGUGUCAAUUAGCUGUUGGAUAGAGUGUAACAAUGCAAGUGAAGAGGAAGAAGAGUGCAACUCACCGCCCAAGCCCCUCGUAGGCAACGGCCUAGGGGCUGCUCCUUGGGGUCCCACCAGGUCACACUGCACCGACACUUCCUCUCUCCCACCAACCGAGGGGUCCACCCGAUGCCUGUAAUAGCCGAAACAUGAUCCACUGUCAGACCUGGAACAAGAAGAAGAAAGCCUGGGCUGGUUGUACUGUUCCGUGUUAGCCUUCCCUGGGUAUUCCCGGGCGCGCAGUGGCCUCCUCCUGGCGUCUCGCCCCCGAUCCUGGCCUUACCCCUGGGACUCCUGCUCUGCUCCCGUCUGCGCAUAGGUCCGCGCCUCAGGGCCAAAGAGCGCUCCUCCGAGGAACCGCUGGCAUCAGGAGCCACCCGUGCAGCAAUACCAACACCUCUAGGGGGACAUGACUCGGACCUCGAUGCGACCUGCCCAGCGCCGUCAUCCGGACCUGACCUGCACCUACGGCCUGUGCCAGGGGAUCUACAACUCCGCAACCUGCC